Molecule: ribosomal RNA, 253 nt
Filed under: uncultured bacterium
Lineage: Bacteria
Description: partial 16S ribosomal RNA
Rfam family: Bacterial small subunit ribosomal RNA
Source: RNAcentral
UACGAAGGGGGCUAGCGUUGUUCGGAAUUACUGGGCGUAAAGGGCGCGUAGGCGGUGUGUCAAGUCAGGCGUGAAAGCCCCGGGCUCAACCUGGGAACCGCGCUUGAGACUGGCACGCUCGAGUUUGGGAGAGGAUGGUGGAAUUCCCAGUGUAGAGGUGAAAUUCGUAGAUAUUGGGAAGAACACCGAUGGCGAAGGCAGCGAUCUGGACCGACACUGACGCUGAGGCGCGAAAGCGUGGGGAGCAAACAGG